GGAAUUAGAAAAUUAAGUGUACAAAUUAUUUGCACAAAAGUAUUGGUUAUUAGGUUUGUUGGUUGAUUAGGGCUCACUUUGGUUGAUGUUGAAUGAGUGUUUAACGAUUAGGAACUACCUUGUAGGUGUGCUGAUGGAAGUUUAUUGCAGUAAUGUAGUUAGGUUCUUAGGUUUGUUUUGGAAAUCUAGUUGUUGUGGAAAAUUUUGGGAACAGACGUGUAGAGAUGGGGUGAG
RNAcentral lists this unclassified non-coding RNA (234 nucleotides) under Hevea brasiliensis (rubber tree). The record is from RNAcentral. Lineage: Eukaryota; Viridiplantae; Streptophyta; Magnoliopsida; Malpighiales; Euphorbiaceae.